UACAGAGGUCCCAAGCGUUGUUCGGAUUCACUGGGCGUAAAGGGUGCGUAGGCGGUCGGGUAAGUCUGAUGUGAAAUCUCACAGCUUAACUGUGAAACUGCAUUGGAUACUAUCCGGCUCGAGGAAUGGAGGGGAGACUGGAAUACUUGGUGUAGCAGUGAAAUGCGUAGAUAUCAAGAGGAACACCAGUGGCGAAGGCGAGUCCCUGGACAACUUCUGACGCUGAGGCACGAAAGCGUGGGGAGCGAACAGG
Molecule: ribosomal RNA, 253 nt
Filed under: uncultured bacterium
Lineage: Bacteria
Description: partial 16S ribosomal RNA
Rfam family: Bacterial small subunit ribosomal RNA
Source: RNAcentral